This 1382-nucleotide ribosomal RNA is filed under the name Dokdonia genika. RNAcentral's name for it is "bacterial SSU rRNA". It matches the Rfam family "Bacterial small subunit ribosomal RNA". The record is from RNAcentral. Lineage: Bacteria; Pseudomonadati; Bacteroidota; Flavobacteriia; Flavobacteriales; Flavobacteriaceae.
GUCGAGGGGUAACAGGAGUAGCUUGCUAUUUGCUGACGACCGGCGCACGGGUGCGUAACGCGUAUAGAAUCUACCUUAUACUGGGGGAUAGCCUUUGGAAACGAAGAUUAAUACCCCAUAGUAUUAUUUUUUGGCAUCAUUAAAUAAUUAAAGUUUCGGCGGUAUAAGAUGACUAUGCGUUCUAUUAGUUAGUUGGUAAGGUAACGGCUUACCAAGACUUCGAUAGAUAGGGGUCCUGAGAGGGAGAUCCCCCACACUGGUACUGAGACACGGACCAGACUNCUACGGGAGGCAGCAGUGAGGAAUAUUGGACAAUGGAGGCAACUCUGAUCCAGCCAUGCCGCGUGUAGGAAGACUGCCCUAUGGGUUGUAAACUACUUUUAUAUGGGAAGAAUAAGAUCUACGUGUAGAUUGAUGACGGUACCAUAAGAAUAAGCACCGGCUAACUCCGUGCCAGCAGCCGCGGUAAUACGGAGGGUGCAAGCGUUAUCCGGAAUCAUUGGGUUUAAAGGGUCCGUAGGCGGGCAUAUAAGUCAGUGGUGAAAGUCUGUGGCUNAACCAUAGAAUUGCCAUUGAUACUGUAUGUCUUGAAUUAUUGUGAAGUGGUUAGANUAUGUAGUGUAGCGGUGAAAUGCUUAGAGAUUACAUAGAAUACCGAUUGCGAAGGCAGAUCACUAACAAUAUAUUGACGCUGAUGGACGAAAGCGUAGGUAGCGAACAGGAUUAGAUACCCUGGUAGUCUACGCCGUAAACGAUGGAUACUAGUUGUUUGGUUUUCGGACUGAGUGACUAAGCGAAAGUGAUAAGUAUCCCACCUGGGGAGUACGUUCGCAAGAAUGAAACUCAAAGGAAUUGACGGGGGCCCGCACNAGCGGUGGAGCAUGUGGUUUAAUUCGAUGAUACGCGAGGAACCUUACCAGGGCUUAAAUGUAGUCUGACAGCUUUAGAGAUAGAGUUUUCUUCGGACAGAUUACAAGGUGCUGCAUGGUUGUCGUCAGCUCGUGCCGUGAGGUGUCAGGUUAAGUCCUAUAACGAGCGCAACCCCUGUGGUUAGUUGCCAGCGAGUAAUGUCGGGAACUCUAGCCAGACUGCCGGUGCAAACCGUGAGGAAGGUGGGGAUGACGUCAAAUCAUCACGGCCCUUACGUCCUGGGCCACACACGUGCUACAAUGGUAGGGACAGAGAGCAGCCACUUAGCGAUAAGGAGCGAAUCUAUAAACCCUAUCUCAGUUCGGAUUGGAGUCUGCAACUCGACUCCAUGAAGCUGGAAUCGCUAGUAAUCGGAUAUCAGCCAUGAUCCGGUGAAUACGUUCCCGGGCCUUGUACACACCGCCCGUCAAGCCAUGGAAGCUGGGGGUACCUGAAGUCCGUCACCGUAAGGA